Molecule: small nuclear RNA, 117 nt
Organism: Bos indicus x Bos taurus (hybrid cattle)
Lineage: Eukaryota; Metazoa; Chordata; Mammalia; Artiodactyla; Bovidae
Gene: U4
Rfam family: U4 spliceosomal RNA
About the family: U4 small nuclear RNA (U4 snRNA) is a component of the major U2-dependent spliceosome. The structure of U4 snRNA from yeast and human has been reported.
Source: Ensembl
GCUUUUGCACAGUAGCAGUAUCAUAACCAAUGAGGUUUAUUCUAAGCAUGGUUAUUGCUAAUUGAAAACUUUCUGCAGAAACGAACAGUCUUUAGAAACAUCUAUAACAAUCUGAUG